Molecule: ribosomal RNA, 465 nt
Filed under: Vreelandella stevensii
Lineage: Bacteria; Pseudomonadati; Pseudomonadota; Gammaproteobacteria; Oceanospirillales; Halomonadaceae
Description: partial 16S ribosomal RNA
Rfam family: Bacterial small subunit ribosomal RNA
Source: RNAcentral
CCUACGGGAGGCUGCAGUGGGGAAUAUUGGACAAUGGGGGGAACCCUGAUCCAGCCAUGCCGCGUGUGUGAAGAAGGCCCUCGGGUUGUAAAGCACUUUCAGUGAGGAAGAACGCCUGGUGGUUAAUACCCAUCAGGAAAGACAUCACUCACAGAAGAAGCACCGGCUAACUCCGUGCCAGCAGCAGCGGUAAUACGGAGGGUGCGAGCGUUAAUCGGAAUUACUGGGCGUAAAGCGCGCGUAGGUGGCUUGAUAAGCCGGUUGUGAAAGCCCCGGGCUCAACCUGGGAACGGCAUCCGGAACUGUCAAGCUAGAGUGCAGGAGAGGAAGGUAGAAUUCCCGGUGUAGCGGUGAAAUGCGUAGAGAUCGGGAGGAAUACCAGUGGCGAAGGCGGCCUUCUGGACUGACACUGACACUGAGGUGCGAAAGCGUGGGUAGCAAACAGGAUUAGAUACCCGUGUAGUC